CAAAUUUGACAGCAUAAUUAAGAA
RNAcentral lists this small nuclear RNA (24 nucleotides) under Arabidopsis thaliana (thale cress). Its description in RNAcentral is "snRNA_03642". The record is from RNAcentral. Lineage: Eukaryota; Viridiplantae; Streptophyta; Magnoliopsida; Brassicales; Brassicaceae.